UCCAGGCCCCCAGCAUCCUGUGAUGCUGUGUAAUGAAGUUCUGUUCUAGCUCAGUGUUUUCCCCCAAGUUCAGGUCUCUGCAUUUCUUUCUGCUUCAUCUACCCCUCCUGACUUCCACAUGGAAAUUCCAGCAGCCAGGGGCUGAGAGGCUUGUUGUGAUUGACUCCCUCUUCCCUAUCCCUUCUUCUUGAGACAGCCUACACUGCCAGCCUAGAUAAACUCCAUCACUCCAGUGUCUCCACGAGUUCCUCCUCCAUCUACUUCGUGACAAGAUUCCCUCUGGUCCUUCCAUGGUGCAAUGCAUCUGGAGACUCC
Long non-coding RNA from Pogoniulus pusillus (Red-fronted tinkerbird), 315 nucleotides. RefSeq lists it as uncharacterized. The transcript has 3 exons. The record is from RefSeq and is a predicted model, not a curated record. Lineage: Eukaryota; Metazoa; Chordata; Aves; Piciformes; Lybiidae.